Cryptomeria japonica (Japanese cedar) is the source of this 669-nucleotide long non-coding RNA. RefSeq lists it as uncharacterized. NCBI's taxonomy places the organism in Eukaryota, Viridiplantae, Streptophyta, Pinopsida, Cupressales, Cupressaceae. The transcript is spliced from 3 exons. The record is from RefSeq and is a predicted model, not a curated record.
UUACCAUAUGCGGGGCGGGGUUCAAAGCCCCUAGUGAGAGUGAUUUGAGGGGACCCAUUUUGUCUCAAAUGGUGGAUGAUGUGAAAAAGGAUUUAGAUGAACAACGCCACAUAUGGAGCACUAAAGGUUGCACCAUCAUGACUGAUGGUUGGACGGAUAGGAGAAAUAGAACUCUCCUUAAUUUUCUUGUUUCUUCCGCAGGGGGCACCAUUUUCAUCAAGUCCAUUGAUGCCUCCGCCCAUUGCAAGAAUGCCACCUACCUAUGUGAGCAGAUAGAGGAGGUGAUUGAAGAUGUGGGUGAGGAGAACGUGGUAUAGGUGGUGACCGACAAUGCAACAAAUUAUGUUGCUGCGGGUAGACUAUUGAUGGAGAGGCACCCAUCUAUAGUUUGGACUCCAUGUGCUGCUCAUUGCAUUGACCUCAUGUUGGAGGAUAUUGGAAAAAUCCCAUGGGUCAAGAGAUGUGUAGAAAGGGCAAGAAAUGUCUGCAAAUUUGUAUAUAAUCAUUCAUGGGUGUUGGCUCUUAUGAGACAAUACACAGAGCAGAAGGAGUUGCAUCGUCCAGGAAUCACAAGAUUUGCCACAAACUUCCUCACAUUGCAGUCCAUGCUUAGGUCUAAGUUUGCCUUGAGAUGGGAUAGAGAUGGCAGACUGCAUUUUUUAUGAGCAA